This 229-nucleotide ribosomal RNA is filed under the name uncultured bacterium. Its description in RNAcentral is "partial 16S ribosomal RNA". It matches the Rfam family "Bacterial small subunit ribosomal RNA", at positions 568 to 796 of the family's 1533-position model. The record is from RNAcentral.
UGCGUAGGCGGAAGAUUAAGUCAGUGGUGAAAUCCUGCAGCUCAACUGUAGAACUGUCAUUGAUACUGAUUUUCUUGAAUACAGUAGAGGUAGGCGGAAUAUGUAAUGUAGCGGUGAAAUGCUUAGAUAUUACAUAGAACACCGAUUGCGAAGGCAGCUUACUAUACUGUGACUGACGCUGAGGCACGAAAGCGUGGGGAGCGAACAGGAUUAGAUACCCUGGUAGUCC